This 253-nucleotide ribosomal RNA is filed under the name uncultured bacterium. Its description in RNAcentral is "partial 16S ribosomal RNA". It matches the Rfam family "Bacterial small subunit ribosomal RNA", at positions 524 to 776 of the family's 1533-position model. The record is from RNAcentral.
UACGGGGGGGGCAAGCGUUGUUCGGAAUUACUGGGCGUAAAGGGCUCGUAGGUGGCCAACUAAGUCAGACGUGAAAUCCCUCGGCUUAACCGGGGAACUGCAUCUGAUACUGGAUGGCUUGAGAUUGGGAGAGGGAUGCGGAAUUCCAGGUGUAGCGGUGAAAUGCGUAGAUAUCUGGAGGAACACCGGUGGCGAAGGCGGCAUCCUGGACCAACACUGACGCUGAGGGACGAAAGCUAGGGGAGCGAACGGG